This 232-nucleotide ribosomal RNA is filed under the name Bacillus thuringiensis. Its description in RNAcentral is "partial 23S ribosomal RNA". It matches the Rfam family "Bacterial large subunit ribosomal RNA", at positions 1715 to 1958 of the family's 2925-position model. The record is from RNAcentral. Lineage: Bacteria; Bacillati; Bacillota; Bacilli; Caryophanales; Bacillaceae.
CUGCAAAAUAACCCCGUAAGUUCGCGAGAAGGGGCGCCUAUUUUUAAUAGGCCACAGAAAAUAGGGGGGGCAACUGUUUAUCAAAAACACAGCUCUCUGCUAAGUUGUAAAACGACGUAUAGAGGGUGAAGCCUGCCCAGUGCCCGAAGGUUAAACGGAGAUGUUAGCUUACGCAAAGCAUUAAAGUGAAGCCCGGGUGAGCGGCGGGCGUGACAGUAACGGUCCUAAGGUA